Molecule: ribosomal RNA, 253 nt
Filed under: uncultured bacterium
Lineage: Bacteria
Description: partial 16S ribosomal RNA
Rfam family: Bacterial small subunit ribosomal RNA
Source: RNAcentral
UACGUAGGGGGCUAGCGUUGUCCGGAAUCAUUGGGCGUAAAGCGCGUGUAGGCGGUCCGGUAAGUCCGCUGUGAAAGUCGGGGGCUCAACCCUCGAAUGCCGGUGGAUACUGUCGGGCUAGAGUGCGGAAGAGGCGAGUGGAAUUCCUGGUGUAGCGGUGAAAUGCGCAGAUAUCAGGAGGAACACCAAUUGCGAAGGCAGCUCGCUGGGACGCUACUGACGCUGAGACGCGAAAGCGUGGGGAGCAAACAGG